This 497-nucleotide ribosomal RNA is filed under the name uncultured bacterium. Its description in RNAcentral is "partial 16S ribosomal RNA". It matches the Rfam family "Bacterial small subunit ribosomal RNA", at positions 28 to 507 of the family's 1533-position model. The record is from RNAcentral.
GAUGAACGCUGGCGGCGUGCCUAAUACAUGCAAGUCGAGCGAACAGACGAGGCUCUUGCUCCUCUGACGUUAGCGGCGGACGUGUGAGUAACACGUGUAUAACCUACCUAUAAGACUGGUAUAACUUCGGGAAACCGGAGCUAAUACCGGAUAAUCUAUUGAACCGCAUGGUUCAAUAGUGAAAGACGGUUUUGCUGUCACUUAUAGAUGGAUCCGCGCCGCAUUAGCUAGUUGGUAAGGUAACGGCUUACCACGGCGACGAUGCGUAGACGACCUGAGAGAGUGAUCGGCCACCCGGGAACUGAGACACCGUCCAGACUCCUACGGGAGGCAGCAGUAGGGAAUCUGCCGCAAUGGGCGAAAGCCUGACGGAGCAACGCCGCGUGAGUGAUGAAGGUCUUCGGAUCGUAAAACUCUGUUAUCAGGGAAGAACAAAUGUGUAAGUAACUAUGCACGUCUUGACGGUACCUAAUCAGAAAGCCACGGCUAACUACGUG